This 459-nucleotide ribosomal RNA is filed under the name uncultured bacterium. RNAcentral's name for it is "partial 16S ribosomal RNA". It matches the Rfam family "Bacterial small subunit ribosomal RNA", at positions 338 to 795 of the family's 1533-position model. The record is from RNAcentral.
CCUACGGGGGGCAGCAGUGAGGAAUAUUGGUCAAUGGGCGAGAGCCUGAACCAGCCAAGUCGCGUGAGGGAUGAAUGACCUAUGGUUCGUAAACCUCUUUUAUCAGGGAAUAAAGUGCGGGACGCGUCCCGCUUCGCGUGUACCUGAUGAAUAAGGAUCGGCUAACUCCGUGCCAGCAGCCGCGGUAAUACGGAGGAUCCGAGCGUUAUCCGGAUUUAUUGGGUUUAAAGGGUGCGUAGGCGGCGGUUCAAGUCAGCGGUAAAAAUGCGGGGCUCAACCCCGUACUGCCGUUGAAACUGGGGGCCUUGAGUGGGCGAGAAGUAUGCGGAAUGCGUGGUGUAGCGGUGAAAUGCAUAGAUAUCACGCAGAACUCCGAUUGCGAAGGCAGCAUUCCGGCGCGCUACUGACGCUGAGGCACGAAAGUGCGGGGAUCGAACAGGAUUAGAUACCCUUGUAGUC